GUGGUGGAGCGCGCGGCCGCGCGCGGCGCAAUCGAUAACUACCGACGUUUACACAUCCAAUAUCAAACCUAUUCAAAUCUAAACUCAUAAAAUAUAGCCAUUCUAGUUAUUUAAAUAUAGUUUAUAAUAGUUGCGAAUAAUAUAUAGUUGCUGCGUGUGGACACUAUUAACAGUGCGACUAAUAAAUCGUUUAUGACGGAGUAGAUAUUACAUCCAAAUUGCCGUCAGUUGCGUUGAGUGUGAGUGAAAUUAGUAGAUGAAAGUCUUCUGAGAACAUGACGACGGCUCCAGCCCCGUCUUGCAUGAGCACCGAACAUGGCUGCGUCAUGUUCGACUGUCUCGUACAUCUUUGGGAGUGGCUUGACCCUCCCCCGUCGCAGACACCGUAUCCAAUGGAGAACAAAAAGACAGCGCCGGCGACACAACAGCCGCUCACUCAACAACAUGUCAUGGCGCAUCAUGUGCAUCCUGACCAAAUAUACACCCAGCAACAUCCGCAAAUGUCCACCCACCUUACCUCCACACAGACCGGUCAGAUUCAGCCGAAUGGCGUCAUGCACCAGUUGCUUCAAAGUCAGUAUCAUUCAAACAUGAAUGCGCGGUCGCCACUACUUGAAAAUAGACAUGAGCUGUAUGGCACAGGGCAUAAUCACGACUACGCCAGAUAUUACGGAGCCAAUGAUAAUUACAAUUAUCCUCAAUCACCACCCAGGAUAGAAAGGACAGAAGUGCAUACAGAUCAUAACGUCAAUCACGAGUUAUUUCACAACGUCCCAAAGGGAUACAACGCGGAAGUCUACCAAGACUACCUAAAACGAAACCCACCGAAAGAAACCAAUCAAAUAUACCAAAAUCAUCAACCUCUUUAUAGGCCUAAUGUUAAUCAAUACGGUUCAAAACCAUACCUUCCAUAUUCAAAUAGAAUAGGUCCACAGAGCAACACAGAACUUUUGCGACGGCAGUAUACCGAAAUCCAACAGAUGAAAUUACAACAGCAGUUACACUAUCAGAGUCAAGCACAAAUGCAUCAACAGCAAAAAUUUGCAGAGCGACAAUUGUUGCUCCAACAAAUACAUGGAGUUCAGCCGCCAGCAAAUUUACAAAAUAGCAUAUAUUCCGAUGGUUCAUACAGAGACUUUGAUCGGUAUAGUAGUAAAAACGACUUUAAGGAUUAUGCCAGUCCAGAUACCAGUGAAGAAAGGUAUGGUAAAAAUAUGGACUACAAAGAAAUGGACAGACAAAACCGACAAUACCAAGAAUCUCAGUGGCAGUUAAAUCAACAAAUGGAUUACCGAGACCAUGACUCCCAUGGAAGAUCUAUGGAAGGAGACAAAGGGAAAAGUCAGUCCCCGCCUUCAGAUUACCACAAUCAAGUACAGAAGAAUAACACUAAUGUUAUGUCACCAAUGAAGUCUAGUGAAUCAAGUACACCUAGUGUGAAAUCUCCGUCUACGGAUAGUCGAAGGAGUAGUGGCGGGAACCAGGCGUUAAGAUCUCCUACUGCACAGCGAAUUCCUUCCGCUCCUGUAGCAAUGUCCGGAAUAUUGUACAAACAAGGCUCUGAUGGACUUAAAGUUUGGAGAAAGAGGUGGUUCGUUUUGUCAGAAUACUGCUUAUUUUACUAUAAAAGUCAAGAUGAGGAAAAACUACUAGGUUCGGUGCUGCUGCCUUCAUACAAAGUGUCGGCUUGUUCAAACGAAGACAAGGUGCUAAGGAAGUUUUCCUUCAAACUAGAGCAUGCAAAUAUGAGAACGUACAUUCUUGCGGCGCCGGAUCAGGAAUCUAUGACGAAGUGGGUGAAAGCGCUGACCAUGGCCGCACUCAUGCAGACUCCUAGUGAUCCGCCACAAAAACACGGCGAUCGGGCAGCUGCUAAAACAGAGGAUGGAGAAGAAAUACCAAUGUAUGCCAAUGCACCGCCAAAGCCAAGACGUUCAAAUGAAGGUUACAACUCACCCAGUCCCGACAUGUACGAUCCCAACUACGACUUACUCAAAAAGCCAACAUUACAUUACAGUCAAGGCACUAGUCAAAACCGAUACUCGGAACACUCCAACUAUCCGAAUAAUCCCAACCAAGAAUCGACAUACACGCGGAGUCCACAGUCACCACCGCCACAGCAGCAUCACCAGUAUCCAAAACGAUCAUACGAUACGCAUAACUUAUCUCUACCACUGACUAACACCAUCAAUGAUAGAAUAGAUAAUCAACCUAGUACUUCAUCGAUGCACAAGUCUGAUCCACAGUCGCCUUGCUUUGAUAGGAGCCGGAAGCAACACGAACAGACACAGGAGAACAAACAAGAUCAGAUAUACGAACGACAGCCGCAGAGAAAUCCGUUCUUACAAGACGUGACACCGCAAAUUGAAAAUCCUCCUAAAGAGCAAAAUGUGCAAAAUAAGACUUCACGUUCUGAUAUGGAGCAAGAAAGAACUCACUCAGUUCACAAUGAAUCGUACAAUGAACCCCAAUCAGUUCCUAAACCUAUGGAUGCUGCUUAUAAUAGAGAUGUAUAUGGAGAGCUAAAUCCUAGGAUUGUGCGAGCAAAUAGUGCAGCAAACGAGCGAUUACUAAUAGAGAGGCGAACACCAGAUGCGUAUGGCAGAUCGACUGCUAUGUCUUCUUAUAAUAAAGAAAAGAUAGGUGAUUACGAAGAUGUGUACGGCUCUUGCGGUACAGAAAAUGAGUACGGGAAAACUUACGCCAAAUCGCCUAAUCCCUCUCAGACAAGGGAUAAUGUCAGUAUCUCAAGUCAUCAACAUCAAAUUUCGCAACAAAGUGCGGCUGGAAAUUAUCCUCAAGAGAAAACAUUCAGUGGACCAUCUGUUUUACGGCGGAAAAAGAUGCAAGCCAGUGGAAUACAACCGCCUAUGCCGAGGCCACACAGUGCAGACUUUUUAGAAUAUGAACAGCGAAAUGAGAUGCAUAACAAAUCAAUGCCUGCUAGAGCUGCAUUAGAUCCUCCGAGACAACCACAAAGACCUAAGUCAAGUCUCGACAUCAACUCAUAUUACGAUCCUAGUUCGGACAGAUACUAUUCAGAAGAAAGUUAUGCUGAAAAGAUGCGCCAAUCGGCUCAGUAUUUGCAACAAGGUUUAGGGCCACGGAAUAUGGAUAUUCCGUUAGCCAAAUAUGCCAGUGGCUUAGCCCAAAAGCAACUAAGUUCCGCGUAUUCACAAAUAACAAACAACAACUAUGAAACUGAAUUUAGUACUAACCGAGCGAAUCGUGACAACGUAAGUUAUAAUUCAAAGAGUGAUAUUGAAGGAUUGAAUUCUAACUGGACUUUGAAAGAAAAAGCUAUAGGAAGCCAAAAAGACUAUUUAACCAGAAGUGGCAGCGUUAUGAGCGACGGAUCUAAUGUUAGUGGUUAUAUUAAAGAAGCUAGCAGAUACGAUUUGAACCCCGAUGGCUUUAUGAGAUCCGCUAGUGCACGAUUGCCUUCCACAAAUGAAAAAGAAGGAGAAAAGAAAGUUCAACAGCGUGAAGAGUCGAUGAAGCGAUUGUUAGAAUGGAAGCAAAGAAUGUUACAGUCGCCUUUGACGAGAAAGAGCACGCCAGCCACGAUCUCACUUGCUCGAUCACUGAACCACAGCAGGCAGUCAUUGCGUUCGGAUCAAUAUAAAGCCAAGACGUACACAAACGCUUCCUAUAACAGCUACUCUUCUGAUGAUGAAGCUUCUAUGACAAUGUUAGGGACAAAUAUAGAAUCUGUUACAAAUAAUAAUUCAACAAAUCAGCAAGCAUUGUCCAAGAAAGCUUUUCUCGGAAGUAACACGUCUAUUGGGAGAAACAGUAGAGAUGCUAAUAUACCAGUGCGUGCUGUGAGCCCAAGGGUAAGGUGGGUUGAGGACAAGUCAACCAAUGAAUACAACUCGCAACAGAUGACAUCUUCACAACAAAACUUAAAUAUACUGACUGCAACUGAGGAUUCAUGGUCAACAGCCAGAUCUCCAUCAAGAGCUUCUCAACAACCUAUCAGUGCUGUGACUCCAAGAAUCCGGAGGAACACUGAAAACGAGGACUUGCAAAGACGAGCUCAGCAGCACGGGCAGAAUGAGCAAGUGGGUGAGGUUCCUACUGCUGGGGAGCUUUUGGGUCGGACGCAUGAGGAGUUGGUACUGCUUCUCAUUCAGUUGAGGAGACGUCAUGCGGCGACGUAUCGGGCAAUCGAGCAGUGUUGCGCUCAAAUUAGUAGCAUUGAGGAUUGUAUAAGUUCUUUGAAAGCAAUGGAACGAGAAGAGAGCCUGAAACGAUUGGAACAACUUAAAAUCCAGUUAAUGGAACUAGAACAUCAGUAUGAGAAGAGCAAGCCUUUAGUACAAUUGGUUGAUAACAUGGUGAAACUUGGCUCUCUCUAUAAUAGGCCGGGAUCAACAAUCGAAAGAUUAGAAAGGAAUCAAAGAUUAAGGCAGAAAGUAUUGGCUGAACACGCAUUGGAACAACAGAGAUGGUUGGAGAGUGUAGCAGCUGGCAAACCAUUGGAGACAGAAGCAGCGAGGGCGCGGGUGGCUGAACUUUGGGCGUUAGAACAAGAACUCGCUGACGAGGCUGCCAUAUUGCAGGGAUUGAAAACUGACAAAGACACUAUAGACUCUCUGCUUACUGGUGUCCGAAGCAAACUGGACACUGUCCAUAAGGCCGAACUGGGCCACGAGGGUAUCACUCAAAGGGGUCGUAGAGAGGGCGCCACCAGUAGCGGUUUGGAAGCGGAGUUGGCGCGCGUACACGCUAUGUUGGCGCACAAUUCUAAGGUUUAUAAGAAGUUGGAGCAGACAGUGGCGGACAACGCGCGGCUCGAGCGCGAGCUGCAGCAGCUGCGGCGCGCGCUGCAGGCCCGCCGCGCGCAUGCGCCCGCGCAUCCCACCGCCAUGCUUGAGGACGAAGUUACUCGAGUGCAACAGUUAGUAUCGGCUUUGCAAAGGCAGCGGCAAGAAUUGAGUCGCGCAGUCAGACAUCUGACACAGCAGUCACACGCGUUGCAGAGCACGCAUGAAGCUGCUCCUGGGAAACGACGCCCCAUGUCUUCUUGGCAAGAGACCAACCUCGACACAGGUCAUACUAUCGACCACGGGCAUUCAGAUUAUGAGGGAGACAGGCCUCUUCUACCACCAGGACAUUACGAGCCAAGCAACGUAGACAUGCCUUUAUAUGUGGACACCCGACCCGCCGGAGUUGAAGUCACCUCGCCUCUUACUAGCGAGGAUAUACAGCAUGGUGGUUUCGGAAACUUGUCUAACGUCGAGAAGCAAGAAAUCAAAACAGUCCGCAUAGUGAAGAGAGAAAGUGAGAGACGCCAGCGAGAUCGUGAACGCUCUCUCCAACCAAUGACGGAUUGGUCCAACAACAUCACAGCAAACCUCGACCAAUUCUUGGAGGAGGAGCUCGUGCAAUCCGUGAACUACUCACGAGCCUCGUCACUGCCAAGAACGGAUUACAAAUACGAUUACUAUAGAGCACAACAAGAGCAGAACUACAGAAUGAAUGAAAAGAACAUGGAACUCAGUCCCAAAUAUGUUUCAAGUCCAUCUUUGUCGAACUACGAUUACUCUAGAGACAUAUCUUCGUUAAGCAGCAGCUACCACAAAAGCUACGACAGAUCUGCAUACGAUAGAAACGUAUCACUCUCAACUCAAUACUUAAACAGCCCUACUGAUAGUUCGAGGACUUUGACUAACGACCCAAUGUCUAAAACAAGCAGUAUUGUUAGUUUGACAAGGUCUAAUAUGGAGUUGUCACCCAUAUUUAAGAGCGAGGCAGCAAAGCAGAUUAUAACUGAGGUUUCCGGUGAUACGAAGAAUGGAUCUUUGCACCGGAGGCAGGUGCCUAAAGAAAAGCGGCGGCAUUACACAGCUCCUCAUCAUUUGAGCGCGAAGACACUUAACGAGAUUCCGAAGGAUUCUUAUAAUCAAGAUAAGCUGGGCCGUUCGCUGGACGACGCGGACAUGGAGCGUGCGCUGCGCGGCGCGGCGCCGGACGUGGUGCGCUCGGCGCUGCCGGCGACGCUGCGCCGCGCCGACAACGCCAUCGACCAGCUGCUCGCCGCGCCGCAGAAGAUACUCAUACCCGAGCGGUACAUACCGGAGAAGCCACCGGAAUUGUCUCCCGAAGAACAACAGAAGAGGCAGGAGAAAGUGGAAUCCAUUAAAAAGAUGCUAACAAGUUCAUCCGCUGAUCCCACCAAGAGCCCGGACAACGACGACAAGAGACAAAGGGAGCACUUGCUGCAAAUGAACCAGAUACUCGCCAAGCAAGUAACAGAGAUGAGCAAAAUCAUUGCCGGAACCAACACAGAACAAGGACCUUCCGGCUCCAACCACUGAUUGGCCACCAACUUACAAAUUCACUUAACACGAGAUUCGCACAAUCACAUUUACAAAACGAUUUGCUUCCAAACAUAUAAACUAACACAAAUACAACAAUUAACUUGCAAGUUGGCUACUCGGACGGUCCUUAGAAGAGAUCUGCUAUCCAUUGUUGCGGCAUGGUUUCGUUUUAUGCAUUUUGUUUGAAAGCGCUAGAAGAACUGCCUCAGAACGAUCAUGCGGAUGAUCUAGACGAUCGGUCACCUGACGUCGAGCUGCCAAUAUAUCAACAAAGGGACAAUUUCUUUACAUAAACGUAUACACAUCAAUAUUAACGUGUUUGAUACCAGUAGGUACUAUAUCAGUACUAAUAUAAUUUAAGGUAAUCAGCUAAAAUGGAUCUCUCAUAUCAUGCUUCUAGAUCGUCAUCAGAGAUCCUCCACGCUGGUUAAUAGCUAUGCCCCAAAUGUUUGACCUAAUGAAAUCGUGAACUUGAACGACUCUUAAUAGAUUGGAUAAUUAAUAUGAUAUUGGAACAUGUAAUCUGCUUUAAAAAUUAAGCGAAAAAUGUAGGAUGUUCAAUUAUUAUUAGAUGAUAUUGUGUACUCGAUUAAAAUGUACCUACCUACCGUUUUUGGACUAGAUGUUGUAGUUAGGCAAGUAAUUUACUCAUGAGUAGAUAUAUUCAAUAUAUAAUAUCUGUGUAUGAACAUUCUACUUUUGUUAUUAAUAUUUUGAUCAAUACUAAACAUUUUGAAAUAAAAUGCGAGGAAUAAAAUAAUUUUAGAUGAAUAAAUGAGAUAAGCUUACUCUGCCUGAUAUAUGCUUGUAUGAUUUGUACCAUUUGGAACUAACGUUACUAUUUAAGGGACGCUUUUAUACUUAUUUGCGGCGUCAUAUACAAUAAUACAGUUCGGUAAUGCAAUAGGAAUUGAUUUCUUUAUACAACUUGCUCAAUUGUUAGGAACAUUCCAGCAAUAGGUUAAUGUUUGUUUCGGCCAGUUACAGUUUUCCCAAUAUUUAUAUAUUCUGUGACGGCCUCGAAAUGUUAUUUUAGGAUAAGAUAGGUUCUUAGACGAUGCUGCAGUUGCCAUAACUAACGAUUUGCAAAAGCACUAAUUACUUAUAGUUGUGAAAAAUCUUAAUGCGUUUUAGUAUUACAUUUUUGUAUAGUAAUGUAUAUAUUGUAUUUUUAUUUGCGUCUUUUGUACUUAUUGUUUUAAGCAAUGUAUUCGUAAUAUGUAGUUGGUCAAUUAAAUCAGAUUCAAUUUUGUAGACAAACGAAGUCAUUUAUGAUAUAGUGGUAAUGCUUCACAAUUUUCACCGUAGAAGCAACGAAUCGGUAACAUUUUGUGAUAUGAAUGUUAUAUGUUUCGAUAUCGAUAAAUUAACGUACCUCACUUGCACAUGCUUAUAGAAUUUGGUAAUUGCAUUAGGAGGUAGUUUGUGUAUUUAAUGCCUAUGAAAAGCUUUAAUUCUUGUGUACACUACAGAAAGUUGUGCAUUUGCUAUUUCGAAUUUAAAUGUAUCGAUAUUUAUCAGUAACUGUCAUUAUCGAUUUUCAUAUGGUACAGGAAAUGAGCAACGGAUCGAUGGUGCACCGUCAUAUUUUAAUCGAUUCUAAUUGUAUUUCCCAAGCCACAUAUCGAAAUAGGCAAAUGUGCCGCAUAAGUUAUUUAUCAUUGAAUAUACUUUUAUUAUGUAGGUAGUUGUUAAAUUAGUGUCGUUUCCCAAAAAUGUUUGCUAUUUUUGUACUUGUUGGCACAGAGACAGUGGCACCACCGAGUAACAGUGUUUCUUUAAAUAAGCUGGUUAAAUAUGUAGAUUAUGUUAUUUUGUUGUAUCAAGUGUGCCAUAUUUUUACAAAGUGCGUAGCAGAAUCUCGCUGCGUUUAGUAUGAAAAUAUGGAAAGUAAAGUCUUCAUGAAUAAAUAUAUUUAUUAUGUAAUGUAACCCUUAUAGAGCUUACCAAUAUAUAAUUAAAGUACAUAUAUAAAUGUAGAAAUGUACCUAUAGACUGACUUGUUUUUUGCCUUCUAUAUAUCCUUGGAUUUUUGAUUAUUUUUUUUUCUAUAGUCAAUUAUAUAUCCAUUAGACUACGUAUUUAUAAAAGGUCCUUAAAUGCUUAAAUGUGACUGGAUACUGUAACAUAUAAAGCUUCCGAAAAAUUACCGGAUUACAUUAGUCUGUAUACUAGGUAUUUCCUCUCUUUGUAUACCUUUCAAUGUAACUGACUAGAAGGCUGAAACUAUAAAUCGAUUUAAUUCUACAAACUAUAUAUAAAUAUGCCUAAAGAACUAAAGUCACAUUAUUGUUUUAUCUACCUGUUUUACAAUCUUUUAAAUUUUAUGUCUGUAUUCGUAGUAUUGAUUGUUUAUCUAAUAAACAUCCUAUUAGUGAUCCUAUAUCAAAUUGCUAUGUCAAAUAUUGUAUUUUGAUUACUUAAAUAUAAUGUAAAGUCAAUUUCCAAUUUAACUUCAAUUUAAAACCAAAUCAAAAUAACAAUUAUAUUUAUUUCACCGAUUGUACCUUAUGUUUUUUUUGUAACAUCGAUUUUAUAAGGAUUGAUGCAUAUCGAUUGUAUUAUCGAUAUAAAGCAUUUGCCCAUUGACGAUCCAGCGAACAAAACUGUUGAAUUAUGCCUUAAAUAAGUUGUUGUGUAAAUACCUACAGGGAAUUGUGCAUAUUGUUUUAUAUUCCUUCUAUCCUAUUAUACAUCUAUCCUUGUAAUUAUAGUGCAUAUGUUAUUCACAUUUGAAAUAAAUACUGUGCUAGUA
This 9081-nucleotide unclassified non-coding RNA is filed under the name Manduca sexta (tobacco hornworm). RNAcentral's name for it is "uncharacterized LOC115447287, transcript variant X4". Lineage: Eukaryota; Metazoa; Arthropoda; Insecta; Lepidoptera; Sphingidae. The record is from RNAcentral.